UCCAGACUCCUACGGGAGGCAGCAGUGGGGAAUCUUCCGCAAUGGGCGCAAGCCUGACCCAGCAACGCCGCGUGAAGGAAGAAGGCUUUCGGGUUGUAAACUUCUUUUCUCAGGGACGAAGAAAGUGACGGUACCUGAGGAAUAAGCCACGGCUAACUACGUGCCAGCAGCCGCGGUAAUACGUAGGGAGCGAGCGUUGUCCGGAUUUACUGGGUGUAAAGGGCGUGCAGCCGGGAGUACAAGUCAGAUGUGAAAUCCCGCGGCUCAACCGCGGAACUGCAUUUGAAACUGUAUUUCUUGAGUACUGGAGAGGCAGACGGAAUUCCUAGUGUAGCGGUGAAAUGCGUAGAUAUUAGGAGGAACACCAGUGGCGAAGGCGGUCUGCUGGACAGCAACUGACGGUGAGGCGCGAAAGCGUGGGGAGCAAACGGGAUUAGAUACCCUAGUACG
RNAcentral lists this ribosomal RNA (450 nucleotides) under uncultured bacterium. RNAcentral's name for it is "bacterial SSU rRNA". It matches the Rfam family "Bacterial small subunit ribosomal RNA", at positions 330 to 793 of the family's 1533-position model. The record is from RNAcentral.